AUUGAACGCUGGCGGCAUGCCUUACACAUGCAAGUCGAACGGCAGCGCGGGGCAACCUGGCGGCGAGUGGCGAACGGGUGAGUAAUAUAUCGGAACAUACCCUAGAGUGGGGAUAACGUAGCGAAAGUUACGCUAAUACCGCAUACGCACUAAGGUGGAAAGUGGGGAGUUCGCAAGAACCUCAUGCUCAUGGAGUGGCCGAUAUCUGAUUAGCUAGUUGGUGAGGUAAAGGCUCACCAAGGCGACGAUCAGUAGCUGGUUUGUAGAGAACGACCAGCACACUGGAACUGAGACACGGUCCAGACUCCUACGGAGGCAGCAGUGGGGAAG
This 330-nucleotide ribosomal RNA is filed under the name uncultured bacterium. RNAcentral's name for it is "bacterial SSU rRNA". It matches the Rfam family "Bacterial small subunit ribosomal RNA", at positions 30 to 362 of the family's 1533-position model. The record is from RNAcentral.